This 88-nucleotide non-coding RNA is filed under the name Paraburkholderia sacchari. The record is from RNAcentral. Lineage: Bacteria; Pseudomonadati; Pseudomonadota; Betaproteobacteria; Burkholderiales; Burkholderiaceae.
UUCAAUGGCCGGGCCUUGGCGGGGGAGCUUCGGCUCACCGGUUCCUUUGCGCCGGCCUCUCAACCCCGUCUUGCGCCCGGCCACCCCC